UUUAUAAUCUGGCGCUUUCAGCGUCCGAGUUGUAAUCUCUAGAAGUGUUUUCCGCGUUGGACCGCACAUAAGUCUGUUGGAAUACAGCGGCACAGUGGUGAGACCCCCGUAUACGGUGCGGAUGCCCAAUGCUUUGUGAUACACUCUCGAAGAGUCGAGUUGUUUGGGAAUGCAGCUCAAAUUGGGUGGUAAAUUCCAUCUAAAGCUAAAUAUUGGCGAGAGACCGAUAGCGAACAAGUACCGUGAGGGAAAGAUGAAAAGCACUUUGGAAAGAGAGUUAACAGUACGUGAAAUUGUUGGAAGGGAAACGCUUGAAGUCAGACUUGCUUUUCGGGGUUUACUCCGGUUGGCAGGCCAGCAUCAGUUUUCCGGGGCGGAAAAUCACGGUUAGAAGGUAGCAGUUUCGGCUGUGUUAUAGCUUUCCGUUGGAUACGUCCUGGGGGACUGAGGAACGCAGUGUGCUUUUAGCGAGGGCUUCGGCCCUUUCACACUUAGGAUGCUGGUGGAAUGGCUUUAAACGACCCGUCUUGA
This 531-nucleotide ribosomal RNA is filed under the name Rhodosporidiobolus fluvialis. RNAcentral describes it as "partial large subunit ribosomal RNA". It matches the Rfam family "Eukaryotic large subunit ribosomal RNA", at positions 114 to 657 of the family's 3401-position model. The record is from RNAcentral. Lineage: Eukaryota; Fungi; Basidiomycota; Microbotryomycetes; Sporidiobolales; Sporidiobolaceae.